AGCUUCCGCCUGCUACGGUCCUGGCAAGCACCUCGGGAUCCCAUUCCUUCACAGGGACCCUAGCCAGGCAAGCGCGCGCCUCACUGUACCGGAGAGCUCCAAGCACGCGCUUGGUCUGGGGCCCGGACGCUACAUCUGGGAAGGGUUAAAGCUGAUACAUUCCUGUGGGUCAACUAUGCAACUAACUCAGAUUUUGAGCAAACAAAGCUCUCAAGUUGGUGAUCCUCAGGAGUCUCUGCAUUAGUUGGACAGCUCUUCUGGAAUUAUCUUCUAAGUCAACUGUGGGUUGGGUAGGUGGCUCUGCUGAUUUUUCGCUGGACUUCCACAUUUGGGACGAGUUGGCUGUCAUCAGCUCUAGAAAGGGUGUGGCCGUUUUACAUUGGCUGUUUUCCUCACAUUCCUCAAGCAGGUACUGUAAUAAAGAACUGGAGAAAUACAGUCAGAUGGGAAGUAGCCCUUGCUGUCAAGGAGCUUGCCAUCUAAUGGGGGAGACAGGCAAGUAAACCAAAGACUACACAGUGCAGUAUGGUAAGUGCCAUGAUUUUGAUGUGACAGGGCACAGUGGACGACCUUCCAAAUCAAAGCAAGUAACUAGGGGUUGACAAUGGUAAGUAUCAUAGUUGAAGUAUCCUUGAACAAGGUUUCAGGAAGAAGAAGAAGGGAAUUUCAUGCAGGGAAACAGCCAAAGCUCAGUGAGUCAAAAUAUCACAGCAUUCUUGGUAAGCCCAAUUGUUUUUUCUGUUUUGCUAUUUUGG
This 755-nucleotide long non-coding RNA is filed under the name Homo sapiens (human). RNAcentral's name for it is "non-protein coding CCDC18-AS1:58". Lineage: Eukaryota; Metazoa; Chordata; Mammalia; Primates; Hominidae. The record is from RNAcentral.